RNAcentral lists this ribosomal RNA (494 nucleotides) under uncultured bacterium. RNAcentral's name for it is "partial 16S ribosomal RNA". It matches the Rfam family "Bacterial small subunit ribosomal RNA", at positions 28 to 507 of the family's 1533-position model. The record is from RNAcentral.
GACGAACGCUGGCGGCGUGCUUAACACAUGCAAGUCGAACGGAAAGGCCUGCUUUCCCUUGUGGAUUGCGGGUACUCGAGUGGCGAACGGGUGAGUAACACGUGAGUGAUCUGCCCCCAACUUGGGUAUAAGCCUGGGAAACUGGGUCUAAUUCCCGAUAGGACUGCAGGGUGGUGCCUGUGGUGGAAAACGAUUUUCUAGUGGUUGGGGAUGAGCUCGCGGCCUAUCAGCUUGUUGGUGGGGUAAUGGCCUACCAAGGCGGCGACGGGUAGCCGGCCUGGGAGGGGGGACGGCCACAUUGGGACUGAGAUACGGCCCAGACGCCUACGGGAGGCAGCAGUGGGGAAUAUUGCACAAUGGGCGGAAGCCUGAUGCAGCGACGCCGCGUGGGGGAUGACGGCCUUCGGGUUGUAAACUCCUUUCGACCGCGAGGAAGCCACCUGGUUGGAAGGGUGGUGACGGUAGUGGUAGAAGAAGCACCGGCUAACUACGUG